This 576-nucleotide ribosomal RNA is filed under the name uncultured bacterium. Its description in RNAcentral is "bacterial SSU rRNA". It matches the Rfam family "Bacterial small subunit ribosomal RNA", at positions 102 to 674 of the family's 1533-position model. The record is from RNAcentral.
ACGGGUGAGUAAUGUCUGGGGAUCUGCCUGAUGGAGGGGGAUAACUACUGGAAACGGUAGCUAAUACCGCAUAACGUCGCAAGACCAAAGAGGGGGACCUUCGGGCCUCUUGCCAUCGGAUGAACCCAGAUGGGAUUAGCUAGUAGGUGGGGUAAUGGCUCACCUAGGCGACGAUCCCUAGCUGGUCUGAGAGGAUGACCAGCCACACUGGAACUGAGACACGGUCCAGACUCCUACGGGAGGCAGCAGUGGGGAAUAUUGCACAAUGGGCGCAAGCCUGAUGCAGCCAUGCCGCGUGUGUGAAGAAGGCCUUCGGGUUGUAAAGCACUUUCAGCGAGGAGGAAGGCAUUGAGGUUAAUAACCUCAGUGAUUGACGUUACUCGCAGAAGAAGCACCGGCUAACUCCGUGCCAGCAGCCGCGGUAAUACGGAGGGUGCAAGCGUUAAUCGGAAUUACUGGGCGUAAAGCGCACGCAGGCGGUUUGUUAAGUCGGAUGUGAAAUCCCCGGGCUCAACCUGGGAACUGCAUUCGAAACUGGCAAGCUUGAGUCUUGUAGAGGGGGGUAGAAUUCCAGGU